This 253-nucleotide ribosomal RNA is filed under the name uncultured bacterium. RNAcentral's name for it is "partial 16S ribosomal RNA". It matches the Rfam family "Bacterial small subunit ribosomal RNA", at positions 524 to 776 of the family's 1533-position model. The record is from RNAcentral.
UACGGAGGGUGCAAGCGUUAUCCGGAUUCACUGGGUUUAAAGGGUGCGUAGGCGGGCAGGUAAGGCAGUGGUGAAAUCUCCGGGCUUAACCCGGAAACUGCCGUUGAUACUAUCUGUCUUGAAUAUCGUGGAGGUAAGCGGAAUAUGUCAUGUAGCGGUGAAAUGCUUAGAUAUGACAUAGAACACCCAUUGCGAAGGCAGCUUACUACACGAUCAUUGACGCUGAGGCACGAAAGCGUGGGGAGCAAACAGG